AGCCGCAAUUCGUGCUAAGGUAGCAUAAUCAUUUGUCUUUUAAAUGAAGACUAGAACAAAAGAUUUAACAUUUCAAUAUAUUUAUUUUAUAUAUUAAUAUAAAUUUUUUAAUACGUAAAAAAACGUAUAUAAAAUAGAAAGACGAUAAGACCCUAUAGAACUUAACUACAGUUAAACUGGGGAAGUAAAUUAAUUAUUAUUUUAAUUAUAUAUAAAUAUAAAAUAGCUAAUAUAUUUAAAUAAUUCAGUUACCUUAGGGAUAACAGCGCAAUUUUCUUUUAAAGUUCUUAUAUAAAAAAUAUUUUACGACCUCGAUGUUGAAUUAAUUACCUAAUAUUUUAAAGCAAAUUUUAAUAAAGGAAGUCUGUUCGACUUUUAAACAAUUACAUGAUUUGAGUUCAGACCGGKGUAAGCCAGGKCGGUUUCUAUCUUCUAUAUUAAUUUUNNNNNNCGAAAGGACCUAAAGAUAUUUUAUAAUUAAUUGGCMGAUUAAUGCMUUAGAAUUAGAAUCUAAUCAAACUAAU
Molecule: ribosomal RNA, 524 nt
Filed under: Coryphasia fasciiventris
Lineage: Eukaryota; Metazoa; Arthropoda; Arachnida; Araneae; Salticidae
Description: partial 16S ribosomal RNA
Rfam family: Archaeal large subunit ribosomal RNA (bases 135-435)
Source: RNAcentral